Salvelinus fontinalis (brook trout) is the source of this 3009-nucleotide long non-coding RNA. RefSeq lists it as uncharacterized. Lineage: Eukaryota; Metazoa; Chordata; Actinopteri; Salmoniformes; Salmonidae. The record is from RefSeq and is a predicted model, not a curated record. The transcript has 4 exons.
UUUGGGACAACGACCCCCAUUGUUAGGGCAGAGAUAUGCACAUCUCGUCAUUAUAUAAAGAUCUCUGCUUUAUCCCCUUACAACAGUGUAUGAUCAUAUCAAUCGGUUUCACCUGCGCUACACGGAACGCAAUAAUAUGUAUUAUAAGUAAAUGGACAGCUGUGCUUCAGACUGGAGACCCAGUCAGCGAGGAGAUGAGGAUGCAUUUGGUGUGAAGGACAUUCCACUUGGGUCGGCUUUGGUAGAUGUCAAGUUUGCAGAUUUAGAGUCACCUUUCAUUAAGGUAGAGAGACCGGAUGAAGGACCAUGGAGAAGGGGCGCAACAUGGAGGACCAAGUGGAUGGGGAAACACCAGAUCCAGCAAUAAUGCCAUCCAGAAUCUCCCCAUUGAGAAUCAUCAGCACUUGGAAGAAGAGGAGAAUCAUGCCCCACUAACCCUCCUAGAGGAGCAGCUGGCAGAAGAUCCAGAGAAGCUCAGUAAGCUGCACCAGUUUGGGAACCGUGGAGAGCAGGAGACCAGUGUUCUGGAGUUUGUAAUAAAGAUGGAGAAGGAGAAAGAACAUUCUGGAUCCAGUCAGGAUGGAUGUCAACAGAGGAACACAGAAAAGCAGGGGAAUCCCUUGAGCUCUGAGUUUGUAAUGGAUGAAAGAGACAGUCAACUGUGGUCGUCUAUAGUUCAAGGGAAUGACCCUGACAUAGUCAUAGACACUGACUUUCCUAAUUUCUCUUGUUGCAGUAUUCAGAGUUUUUUCAGAUUGUGCCGAAGCUCAGCCCCUAUCCUAAAUGGUACCCUAUAUUCCCUAUUUAGUGCACUACUUUUGAUCAGAGUCCUGACUUUUGUUUUGGAUGUGAAACUAAAUAAUUGUGUUCAUUGCUACACACCAGAGGGCAGUGUAACACUUCAUUCAAAAAAUAGGAAAUGGUCAGUCACUCUAAUGUGGUUUUGCUGAGGGAACAAGAACUAACCCAAAUGUAAAGUUGUCCUUUACUGUUGGGUCCUUUGAAAAAUAAAACUGUAAUGGAGGGGUUGUCAUAUGCCAGAAAUAGAGAAAGCUAUGACGCUUUUCCAAUAAGUAAGGGCUUUACAAUACAACACAAAUUAAUUUUCUAUUAGUUACAGCGAACAACGGAAAAGUGUCUUCCCCUUGCACCUAGCCGUAUUUCACUGGUGUAGACAGGAGGCAGUUGCAUGUUUAGAACUACUGAAUUUAUUUAAGCACUAUAGAUCAAAGCGGGACAAACCCAAACACUGUUGUGCUCAAAAUAUAUCUUCAUAAUGAAAAGGCACAGGGCAAACCCAAAGUGCAAAAUAUAAAGUACUCAGGAAAUAGUAGGAGAGAUUCCUUUCAGGAAAACAAGUAACAUUUACAAUGACCGACAAAGACAAUUGGCAGAGGGAGUAUAUAUACAGUGAUAGAGUGGGGAUGAGAUAAGUCCGGGGUUGAUGAGUGAAGGGCGUUUGCCAGCAGUCGUUUCGGCAGCAGCUAGAGGGCCGAACGCCUGAGCUGGACAGGAGGGGAGCCAAAGCGAAGGCUGGUGUGACACCGUCGGGAGAAUUUGGGAAGGUUGUGGCUGAUUUAACUUCACUUAUUGUGGUGAUCUAUUCAGCACCAUGGAUAGUGCUGGGGUUGAUCAAUUGUCCACGAAUCUAAACCCACUGUGAAUCAUGUGCUAAAAGCUAACAUUUACUUAUUGCAUUCACUCACCUAAAAAUCUAUGGUUGGCCCAUUUCUAGCCAUGAAGUAAAUUAUCAUCUCUCAAGGUUUUGUUUCAAAAUGUUUAUUUAGUCACAGCAUAAAAUAAAUGAACCGUGAGCCUUCUGGCUACACAAUCGUGGACUAUACAAAGGGGGUACAAAACAUUAGGAACUCCUGCUCUUUCCAUGACAGACUGACAAGGUGAAUCCAGAUGAAAGCAAUGAUUCCUUAUUGAUGUCACCGUAUUGAUGUUAAAUCCACCUCAAUCAGUGUAGAUGAAAGGGAGAAAACAGGUUAAAGAUCAUUUUUAAGCCUUGAGACAAUUGAAACAUUGAUUGCGUAUGUGUGCCAUUCAGAGGGUGAAUGAGCAAGACAAAAGAUGUGAGUGCCUUUGAACGGGGUAUGGUAGUAGGUGCGAGUGGCACCGGUUUGAUUGUGUCAAGAACUGCAACAUUGCUGGGUUUUUCACGCUCUACAGUUUCCCGUGUAUAUCAAGAUUGGUCCACCCCCCAAAGAAUAUCCAGCCAACUUGACACAACUGUGGGAAGCAUUGGAGUCAACAUGGGCCAACAUCCCUGUGGAACGCUUUCGACACCUUGUAGAGUCCAUGCCCCUGCGAAUUGAGGCAGUUCUGAGGGUAAAAGGGGAUGCAACUCAAUUUUAGGAUGGUGUUACUAAUGUUUUGUUCACUCUGUGUAUAAUCUAAUUAAAUAAACAAGUCAAGACCCAUCAAUUAUUAUUUUCCAUUAUUACUUUUAUUCAAGACAGAAAAAACUAAAUGUUCAUAAAGCAGUUCAAUUCAAGUUUAUUAAAAAAAUUUUUUUAAAUGGCAUUAACAUGAAAAACAGUCUUAGUCAGAAACAGUAACUAUAAUUGUAGAUAGGCCUAACUGUAAUUGUAGCUGACUGAUUCUCAAGACCCAGCCAAUCACAGUGGUGUAAAGUACAGUACUUAAGUAAAAAUACUUUAAAGUACUACUUAAGUAGUUUUUUUGUGGUAUAUGUACGUUACUAUUUAUAUUUUUUACUACUUUUACUUCACUACAUUCUUUAAGAAAAUAUACUUUUUACUCCAUACAUUUUCCUUGUCACCCAAAAGUACUCGUUACAUUUUGAAUGCUUAGCACAACAGGAAAAUAGUCAAAUUCACACACUUAUCAACCGAACAUCCAUGGUCAUCCCUACUGCCUAUUAUCUUGCGAACUCACGAAAAACACAUGCUUCGUUUGUAAAUUAUGUCUGAAUGUUGGAGUGUGCCCGUGGCUUUCUGUAAAAAAUAGAAAAAGAAAAUGGUGCCGUCUGGUUUGCUUAAC